Long non-coding RNA from Vombatus ursinus (common wombat), 533 nucleotides. RefSeq lists it as uncharacterized. The record is from RefSeq and is a predicted model, not a curated record. The transcript has 4 exons. Lineage: Eukaryota; Metazoa; Chordata; Mammalia; Diprotodontia; Vombatidae.
AAUUACACCAAGCCACAGAGAAUUGGGAGUCAUGGCCUUGCACGAUGAGAAUGAAGAACAUGAGAAACUGUGACGUCAGCUUUCUGAUCCACCAGCCGGGCAAUAACUGCCACGCUAGUUCAGCAAGUGGCCAGAAUUUCUUACACAAAGAAGAGCCUUCAGGAACUAUGAGGACUUGGUAUUGAAACAAGAGAAACAAGGAUCUUUGUGAUAUCUCAACUCACGGGCCAUGAACUUGCUGGGCCUCCCCCGCCUCCUGGAGAAUAGCCCCACAUUGGACAAUGUUGAAGAACACCUCCAAGAGCUCUAGAAGAACCUUGCAGUAGGACCUCAGCAUCAAAGGCUGACAUCAGUGGUAUUGAGGACAUAGACAUAUUCAUUCAAGGAGAAUUUGGAAAAUUGCAUUGGACUGGCUUAAUUUCAGCAAUAUUCAGGAUUCCCGUGGCCAAAGUCUUCAAGCACAGGACAGAACGAAGAACACUGGCUCUGAAGUAGAAGACCUGAGUUCAAAUCCUACUUCUGACACUACCUGU